This 484-nucleotide ribosomal RNA is filed under the name uncultured bacterium. Its description in RNAcentral is "partial 16S ribosomal RNA". It matches the Rfam family "Bacterial small subunit ribosomal RNA", at positions 30 to 507 of the family's 1533-position model. The record is from RNAcentral.
AUUGAACGCUGGCGGCAGGCCUAACACAUGCAAGUCGAGCGGACGAAGGGAGCGCGCUCCCGGAUGCCGCGGCGGACGGGCGGGUAAUGCCUACGAGUCUGACUGACCGAGGGGAAUGACGUACCGAAACGGGAGCGGAUCUCACACCGGACCAGAGAGUGAAAGGGGGGGAUCAUCGGUCAUAAAGGGUUCUGAUGAGACUAGGACGCAUUAGCUAGUUGGUUGGGUAAAGGCUUACCAAGGCGACUAACCGUAACUGGUCUGAGAGGAUGAUCAGCCACACUGGAACUGAGACACGGUCCAGACUCCUACGGGAGGCAGCAGUGGGGAAUCUUCCACAAUGGGCGAAAGCCUGAUCCAGCAACGCCGCGUGAGUGAUGAAGGUCUUCGGAUCGUAAAGCUCUGUUAGUUGGGAGGAAGAACAGUGUGUUUAUCCCUGCCCGUCUUGACGUUACCUACACAAUAAGCCCCGGCUAACUUCGUG